GAUGAACGCUGGCGGCGUGCCUAAUACAUGCAAGUCGAGCGAACAGACGAGGAGCUUGCUCCUCUGACGUUAGCGGCGGACGGGUGAGUAACACGUGGAUAACCUACCUAUAAGACUGGGAUAACUUCGGGAAACCGGAGCUAAUACCGGAUAAUAUAUUGAACCGCAUGGUUCAAUAGUGAAAGACGGUUUUGCUGUCACUUAUAGAUGGAUCCGCGCCGCAUUAGCUAGUUGGUAAGGUAACGGCUUACCAAGGCGACGAUGCGUAGCCGACCUGAGAGGGUGAUCGGCCACACUGGAACUGAGACACGGUCCAGACUACUACGGGAGGCAGCAGUAGGGAAUCUUCCGCAAUGGGCGAAAGCUUGACGGAGCAACGCCGCGUGAGUGAUGAAGGUCUUCGGAUCGUAAAACUCUGUUAUUAGGGAAGAACAAAUGUGUAAGUAACUAUGCACGUCUUGACGGUACCUAAUCAGAAAGCCACGGCUAACUACGUG
RNAcentral lists this ribosomal RNA (497 nucleotides) under uncultured bacterium. RNAcentral's name for it is "partial 16S ribosomal RNA". It matches the Rfam family "Bacterial small subunit ribosomal RNA", at positions 28 to 507 of the family's 1533-position model. The record is from RNAcentral.